GAUCUCAUUCUCCUGGAGCGUGUGAGUGUGUGAGUGGAGUUAGAAAGCAGGGAUGGAGAAAGAGGCGUAGUUAACAAGAGCAAGAGGAAGGAGGUAUGAAUGAGAGUGUGUGUGAGAUUAGAGCUGGGAAGAUCGUGGAAGCGACGGGACACAAGCAACACUACUGUCUGCAAAGAUCAUGAGGGGUAUCCGAGGGCAUGCAGUCAGAAUGGUGCUUCCUGAAUUAUGUUACACAAUACUCUCUAAAUGGUGGAUCCUCAGAGAGGAAGACGGUGACAGAUGAUGUGUUCAGACGGCGAUGAUGGGGCAGGGCAGCUGGUGUUGUGAAUCAGGCCGCCGUGGUGAAAGGGUACGGCUUCUUCACAACACCAGGGUCUCACCUCAUCACACACAACGACACCAUUUACACCCUCGCACAUCAACCUGUCAGUUGACCCAGUGAGAGGACGCAGCUUUCCCAUCAUAUGUCAUAAAAAUGAACCUGUGUCUGCUGAUGACUGAUGAAGACGCAUGGAGAAGAGACGCUGUUCUGCUCUGAACUUACAGAGGAUUCAGUUCAUUUGUGUGGUUGCGUAUUUUAUAGUAAUUCAAAUAAUUAAAUUGCAGUGACUGUUGAUAUUAAUAACAUAAAUGUAAUAUCAUUGAGAAAUAAGAAUUGCACUUGAAUAGCCAAGGUAAAAUCUAAUAUCUUGUCAUAUGAUUUUUUUUAUGCAGCAGAAGAAUAUUGGAACUUAAAAUGUAUAAUGAUAAAAAUGUAAAUAAAAAUGGUAUAAUAAACAACACAAAAAAGUAUAAUAAAAUAUAAUACAAUUA
This is a long non-coding RNA of Carassius gibelio (silver crucian carp), 813 nucleotides long. RefSeq lists it as uncharacterized. Lineage: Eukaryota; Metazoa; Chordata; Actinopteri; Cypriniformes; Cyprinidae. The transcript is spliced from 3 exons. The record is from RefSeq and is a predicted model, not a curated record.